This 353-nucleotide long non-coding RNA is filed under the name Rattus norvegicus (Norway rat). RNAcentral describes it as "long non-coding RNA NONRATT004805". Lineage: Eukaryota; Metazoa; Chordata; Mammalia; Rodentia; Muridae. The record is from RNAcentral.
CUCUACAGCCGCGCCCGAGGGGCAGACUCCACAGAUAUUCCCCUGGAUGAGGAAGCUUCACAUCAGCCACGGUAAUUCUCCAUCUCUCUCUCUUUUUUGUCCUCUCGGCAUUCCUGCCCUGUGCUGGGGGUGGGGGCGAGCAAAGCUUGGCUUUGCCUCAAAUAUAGAUUCCUUUUUUUUUCCACCAAGAGGGAAAAGUGUCCGAAACCGUCCCCAUAGCUCCAUAGAUAGAGCCAAACAGGAUCGUUUUCUGAGGGUAAGCAUUAAAAAAAAAAUGUUGCCACGGUCAGCUUAGGUUUUAUUUACCCAGCCAGUAGUCACCGGCUUUAGGAUGAAAGAUGGGAUUUGUGUAU